RNAcentral lists this ribosomal RNA (261 nucleotides) under Salmonella enterica. RNAcentral describes it as "partial 23S ribosomal RNA". It matches the Rfam family "Bacterial large subunit ribosomal RNA", at positions 1 to 262 of the family's 2925-position model. The record is from RNAcentral. Lineage: Bacteria; Pseudomonadati; Pseudomonadota; Gammaproteobacteria; Enterobacterales; Enterobacteriaceae.
GGUUAAGCGACUAAGCGUACACGGUGGAUGCCCUGGCAGUCAGAGGCGAUGAAGGACGUGCUAAUCUGCGAUAAGCGCCGGUAAGGUGAUAUGAACCGUUAUAACCGGCGAUUUCCGAAUGGGGAAACCCAGUGUGACUCGUCACACUAUCAUUAACUGAAUCCAUAGGUUAAUGAGGCGAACCGGGGGAACUGAAACAUCUAAGUACCCCGAGGAAAAGAAAUCAACCGAGAUUCCCCCAGUAGCGGCGAGCGAACGGGG